Molecule: non-coding RNA, 137 nt
Organism: Brachypodium distachyon (stiff brome)
Lineage: Eukaryota; Viridiplantae; Streptophyta; Magnoliopsida; Poales; Poaceae
Source: Rfam
GAAAUACUUCCUCUGUCCCAACAAAGGAUGUCUCAAUUUUGACUAAAUUUGAAUGCAUCUAUACACCAAGUCAUGUGUAGAUAUAUUCAAAUUUUAACAAACUUGAGACAUCUUUUGUUGGACGGAGGGAGUAUAAU